AAAGUCUUAUGAUGGGUUGGCGCACAGAAAUAUCAUAUUCCAAUCACGACAUGAGAAAUGGUUGGAUUGCCUGUCCUACUAGGAGAUUCUGGACUGACAUUUUGUCGUGUUAUUGUGUUCCACGCUAUUUAGUUCCUCCUGGAGCCUUCCGAAUUUCACAUGCACUGCUUCAAUCAGCUCCUGCAGAGCGGAUAACUUACCUAGGGACCCAGGCCUUACUGGACAAGCAGCCACUCAUGUACAGGGGCAGACUGGCCUUGUUCUUUUUAAUUUUAAUUUUUUUGCAUUUCAGAGUAUAGAUAUUCAUUUUAGCAAUUUAUUGCAAAGUGAAAGCCAGUGAGUUUCCUGUAGGAUCUUUAUCUAAAAUGGAAGGAUUAUGUAGAAAUGAGCCUACCUGCUGGUUUUUCUUUCUUUUCUCAAUAAUAUUUACAUGUGACAAGUAUUUUCCUAUCUCUAAAAACUGAAUAUGCCUUUGUUUUCUAGUGCGUAUUUCUGCAAUGUAAACCUGCUUGUAUAUAUAUUAAAAGAACCGUUUGAAACCGUUUCUGUGUAUGCACAAAAUAUGCAUUGAUGGUAUUUUGUGUGGGGAUAAGAACCUCAUGUUUACUAAGGAAGUAGAGGAAGGGAAUUUACUUUAGGAGCUUCAAAUUAGUUGCAAAUUAGGAAUUUAUUUUGUAUGUCAUAAAAAUGCAACUCUUUCAUCUAGUUUAAAAGAAAAACGAGAUUUUGGAAGAAUCUUGACUAAAUAACUUUAAAAGUAUUAAAGAAUUUUAAAAGACUGUUAUAAAUCAGACUGCCUUAUAAUAGGAACAGAAAUUUGGGGCUACUUUUUUACAUGUGUACUUACUAAAAUUAUAUGUUAAUACUGGAAGUUAGAUAAUAGAGGAAAAGUACAAUUUUGUAUUAUAAUGUAAUAUCGGCACUAUAUAAAACUGACAGUUAAUUUUAAGUAUUGUUAUUUAGAUCAGUGAGGCAGAAUUUCAAUGUAGAUAUGGAAGAAAAGGCUCCCAUUUUAUAAAUUGCAGAAUAAAUAUAUAUAUUUUGAAUGCUGAA
This is a long non-coding RNA of Pteropus alecto (black flying fox), 1053 nucleotides long. RefSeq lists it as uncharacterized. The record is from RefSeq and is a predicted model, not a curated record. NCBI's taxonomy places the organism in Eukaryota, Metazoa, Chordata, Mammalia, Chiroptera, Pteropodidae. The transcript has 2 exons.